RNAcentral lists this ribosomal RNA (509 nucleotides) under uncultured bacterium. RNAcentral's name for it is "bacterial SSU rRNA". It matches the Rfam family "Bacterial small subunit ribosomal RNA", at positions 8 to 526 of the family's 1533-position model. The record is from RNAcentral.
AGGGUUUGAUUAUGGCUCAGGACGAACGCUGGCGGUGCGCCUUAUGCAUGCAAGUCGAGCGAAGCUUUUCAGUAGUUUACUACAGAAAAUGACUGAGCGGCGAACGGGUGAGUAACGCGUGAGCAAUCUACCUUAGUUACAGGGAUAGCCCGAGGAAACUCGGAUUAAUACCUGAUAUUCUUUAUUUCUCGCAUGAGAAUAAAAGGAAAGGUCAGCCGAACUAAGAUGAGCUCGCGUUCUAUCAGCUUGUUGGUGAGGUAAAAGCUUACCAAGGCUACGACGGAUAGCUGGUCUGAGAGGACGAUCAGCCACACUGGGACUGAGACACGGCCCAGACUCCUACGGGAGGCUGCAGCAGGGAAUAUUGUGCAAUGAACGAAAGUUUGACACAGCGACACCGCGUGUGGGAUGACGGAUCUAGGUUUGUAAACCACUUUCAGGAGGGAAGAAAAUGACGGUACCUCCACAAGAAGCCCCGGCCAACUACGUGCCAGCCGCCGCGGUAAUAC